UGGGAUCUUGUUUUUGCAUUGCGCUGUAUUUAGCCCUGCAGAACGUUACGUUUUCGUUUUCUUUUGGUAUUUCUUUUAGUUUUUUGUUUUGGUGUUCAUCUAAUAAAAGUAAUAUGUACGCUUACCAUGCUGCACCUUGGUCUCCUUCUUCAGACGGCCUUAACAGAAGAUCCGACCAAAACCGGACCAAGCAGCGUGGCCAAGAUAAGUGGACUUGGGAGGAAAUUAUGAAUGGAGAAGGGCCCUGGACGCGGAUUGGGGAGUAUCGCCGUUCAAGGGAGCAGAUGGAGGCAGCAAGAGAGGAACGGCGACGAUACGAGGAAUUAGUGCAACAACGGAAGUCUGAGGUGCAGCAUUGUAAGCGUGGUAAGAUGUACGCUUACCACGCUGCACCUUGGUCUCCUUCUUCAGACGGCCGUAACAAGCGCAAAGUUGGAACCGGGAUUCAUCCGUGAAGAGCACACUUCUUCAGUAUGCCAGUGGCCAUUGAAGGUGAGCAUUUGCCCACCGAAGUCAGAUACGAUGCUGCAGUCAGGUCAAGACCCUGGUGACGACGACGAGCACACAAAUGAG
This 573-nucleotide long non-coding RNA is filed under the name Salmo salar (Atlantic salmon). Its description in RNAcentral is "lncRNA (ENSSSAG00000102235.1)". The record is from RNAcentral. Lineage: Eukaryota; Metazoa; Chordata; Actinopteri; Salmoniformes; Salmonidae.